ACUGGGCCAUAGCAUCUACAGAGUAAGAGUUGUGGUCCUGAAUUCAGGAAAUCCCCUCAGGAGGGAACGGCUGCCUAUUGCUUUGAUUGCACUCCUUGCUCAGAGAAUGAGAUGGCUAAUGGGUCAGAUAUAGACCAGUGUGUGAAGUACCCAGAUCAUC
This is a long non-coding RNA of Perognathus longimembris pacificus (Pacific pocket mouse), 160 nucleotides long. RefSeq lists it as uncharacterized. The record is from RefSeq and is a predicted model, not a curated record. The transcript has 3 exons. NCBI's taxonomy places the organism in Eukaryota, Metazoa, Chordata, Mammalia, Rodentia, Heteromyidae.